UUGACCUCAAAUCGGGUGAGACUACCCGCUGAACUUAAGCAUAUCAAUA
RNAcentral lists this ribosomal RNA (49 nucleotides) under Russula cyanoxantha. RNAcentral describes it as "partial 28S ribosomal RNA". The record is from RNAcentral. RNAcentral also lists the same sequence under 57 other names. Lineage: Eukaryota; Fungi; Basidiomycota; Agaricomycetes; Russulales; Russulaceae.